CUGAGCAUUCUAACCAUGAUUUACAACUUUACACCAGUUCUAGUGUAUUACCAAAAAGAGUACGUCUUGAUUACUAGAAACAGGCAAUUGAAGACAGAAAUACUAAAAACACCUGUGCAGAACUAUACAUCCUCAUGUGUAUCAUAUAGAUUCCUCUAACUCAAGUAGGUAGAAGAAAUCAGUAAAUUGGUGAAAGGGGUUGACAGCAUUUGCCAAAGGCAAGCAUACUUACAAUGCAAGGUAACCCGCUUUCACCGCAAAUGUAUAGAUGAUAGUUUUGUAAUAAGUUUGUACAGAUUUUCAGAUAAGAGGACUUCAUAAGUAAGCCUUUUCCUCUUUCUGGCUUGUACCAGUCAGCAGAUACAAUUGGAGGAAACAUCAGAUUUAGAAGUAAUGGUUCAACAUUAGGUUCUAAUAACACUUGGAAGUUCUUGAAUAUACUUCAGGAAGAGGAGGUGUCUUAAAGGGCCUUACUUCUGUAAGUAAUUAGGAUUAAAAGGUGGUAACUCGUCAAUGUGGGCUCUUAUGUGUGGUCUGACAGUUUUCCUGACAUGAAAUCAAUUCUAUUUUCUGCACUUUGACAUCACACACCACGCAUUUGUGCUCAAAAUUACUGGCUGCCUGUGUCAUUUGUAGCUUACAGUCAGCACACCACAACAAGUGCUGGCAUGGAAAGUUGGCCCACAACACCCGACGCUGGUUGCACCCAAAGCACCUUCCCUGUACGAUGUUUGCCUUGUAGUUAUCAUAAAAAUCAAAUUCACGAAGAAAGAACAGAGAUGAAUUAUUCCUUUUACUGGCAAGGACCUCCAAAACCAAAUGUCUUUCUUGAGGACUGUGCUUCAUCCCCUUAAACCUGUCUCCCAAUUCUCCUCUAUCAAAAGUAUCUCCUGUGUCACCAUCACAUUCAACAAAAAGCCAUGGUCGAGCAUGAAAGAUUAGGUCUGGCUUCAAAAAUUGAAGAAAAGUGGAGUGCACACUAACUGAUGUGUCCUCUGGAUUCUCUUCAAGCAUCUGAUGGGACAACAUAGAGCUGCUAUCAGUCGAGUCACUAUUCUCAUUAGAGACCAAUGGAACAUCCUGAAAGCCCUUAGCUUUGCUAGAAUCACCAUUACUACUGCACUCAAUUGCAUCACAAGAUGGAUUACAUAUAUUUAAAGGUUGAACUGGUUGACAAUGAGGCUUAGAAAGGCUAGGCAAAAGUAUCAUGUGAUUGGCAGGUUUCUGUUUGCCUAUAGGAACAAACUUAAUGUGACAAAGGUCUGGUAAAGAUCUCAUGAAUUCACUAAGCUUUGAGAAGCCAAGAGAGGCAUGGUCCAAUUCCAGGCCAAAAGCAGCCCUGAAAUCAGCUUUCAGGGAUGAGAGAGCAUAUACUCCAUCCCUCAUUGCCACCUGCCGUAAAAAGUGAGGGAGCCACUUCUUGAAAGUUAUGAGCCAUGUGGGCAUGCCUUCUUUGUGCAUUUGAGAUUCAUUAGAACAUGCCUUUGGUUGACCACAUAUUAGUGUAUCGACCCAAGACAUUAGCAUUGAUUUACCCUCUUCUGUGGUAUUAAAGCUGGGCAUCUCUUCUUCAUUCAUCUCAUUAGGCGACUGCCAACUGAGCAGGUCCCUUUUUACCUUCUCACUGGGUGUCUGCCAAUCAGCCAUCUCCUUUGUAUCCUUCUCUUUAAUCAUCUUCUCUUGUGGUAGAUGCUCAUCACUCUGUUCUUGUUCAUGUUGUUGAGGUGAUUUCUGAAGCCCAGCUGAUAAAAGGCACUUUGGAAGAGCACUUUUGAUCUCAAUUUGCUUGCCCAUAACAGAGACAUAGCGUGCUUCAACAGCUGCUGUAACAGAUUUCUUGCGUUUAAAGGUGACAAAACCAAAUCCUCGGGAUUGUAUCUUGUCUCCCGUUAGAGCUCCCACAACACUGGCAUCAGCCACCGAACCAAAUUUCUCUUCAAAAAAUUUGUGCAAUAAAUCAGAAUCCACGGAAGGAGGUAAGCCUCCUACAAAGAUUUUCUGUUCAAGGUCCCGUGCCGUGGAUGAAUGAAUUAUUUCUCUUCCCUGCUUCAUCUGCCUGGGCUCCUGUUCAGCAUGCACAUAAAAGCACUUACUGCCUCUAACACAUCCAGUAGGAGAUUCAAAGUAUUUGCAUAUCUCUGUCUUCACACUUGAGCAAGUUCUGUAAGUUGUUUUGCCUUCAUCUUUCAUAUCAAAAAGCUCUUCACAAGUCUCUGCGAUCACCUCAUCUCCUUGUAACCAUGCAGUAUACUUCUGUUGAAAAGGGAAAGCACGAUUUGUGAGGCUAAUAUUCAUUGGGUUAAGCAAGAAACGCAUGUCUUGUGACUCUGCCAAGUCUACAGGUCUUUGCUUUCGCAAGUUAAAGACCUCUGUACUUGCUCCCCAGCGCAGAAGAACCUCAGCACAGUCUUUACAGUCAUUCUUCACGGCAAAAAACAGUGGGGUUUCUUUUGUUUCUGUUUUAGAGUUGACGCAAUCUGGGUCUUCCAGUAAAAGGACCUUAAGUGCAUGCAAAUUACCAUUUGCAGCAGCAAGAUGAACUGCAGUUAGCCCCAAUUUAUUUUUUUGGUUCACUCGGGCACCAUGCUUCAGCAGGAGCCACAUAAUCUUGAUCUGCUGAAAACAUGAUCCCUUAGAUGUCUUGAGGCACCAAUGAAGAGCAGAGUUCCCUUCAGUAUCCACAUCAUUUACAUCUAUGUUAGUCUUCAGAAGCAGUUUAAUAAUGGCUUCAUCUGCAGCCUGCGACGCCAAUAUUAAGGGUGAUGUCACCUUCUUUUCCGUACAACCGGUGGUUUGGGCAACGGCGUCGAAUAGCUGAAGCAACUCAAUCUCGCAGAGCAAAAGCUUCCUUUUCCCGGCGCUCUCACUCUUGGUUGGGGCAAUCUUUCGUUUGACGGCACUCAGCGAUGUCGCAGAGCGACUCAGGCUUAAUGCCUCUCUAAUCACCCGUUCGUAAAUCGUGGUCUUCUCUUUGGAAUUUAAAUCUGCAUCGUGCAACUCCAAAAUCGACUCAUUUACUUUCUGUGCCGCUACUACUAACAGAGCAGCUAAAUCCACAACACGCCCUCCAAUGGCGCUUGCAUACGCCACCUCGUCGACUUCCUUUGUCUUCUCGCUAAGAAGUUUUAUAGCGGUCAAAUCCUGUAGAGAUUAAACAACAUUCAAUUGAUCGAUCGAGUGUGGCUAUUAUUACUG
This 3195-nucleotide unclassified non-coding RNA is filed under the name Hevea brasiliensis (rubber tree). Lineage: Eukaryota; Viridiplantae; Streptophyta; Magnoliopsida; Malpighiales; Euphorbiaceae. The record is from RNAcentral.